CCUACGGGUGGCAGCAGUGGGGAAUAUUGCACAAUGGGCGCAAGCGUGAUGCAGCCAUGCCGCGUGUAUGAAGAAGGCCUUCGGGUUGUAAAGUACUUUCAGCGCGGAGGAAGGCAUUAAGGUUAAUAACCUUGGUGAUUGACGUUACUCGCAGAAGAAGCACCGGCUAACUCCGUGCCAGCAGCCGCGGUAAUACGGAGGGCGCAAGCGUUAAUCGGGAUUACUGGGCGUAAAGCGCACGCAGGCGGUCUGUCAAGUCGGAUGUGAAAUCCCCGGGCUCAACCUGGGAACUGCAUCCGAAACUGGCAGGCUAGAGUCUUGUAGAGGGGGGUAGAAUUCCAGGUGUAGCGGUGAAAUGCGUAGAGAUCUGGAGGAAUACCGGUGGCGAAGGCGGCCCCCUGGACAAAGACUGACGCUCAGGUGCGAAAGCGUGGGGAGCAAACAGGAUUAGAUACCCCAGUAGUC
This 465-nucleotide ribosomal RNA is filed under the name uncultured bacterium. RNAcentral's name for it is "bacterial SSU rRNA". It matches the Rfam family "Bacterial small subunit ribosomal RNA", at positions 338 to 795 of the family's 1533-position model. The record is from RNAcentral.